RNAcentral lists this non-coding RNA (83 nucleotides) under Limnothrix rosea. RNAcentral's name for it is "Glutamine-I sequence". It matches the Rfam family "Glutamine riboswitch aptamer (glnA leader)". RNAcentral also lists the same sequence under 1 other name. Lineage: Bacteria; Bacillati; Cyanobacteriota; Cyanophyceae; Pseudanabaenales; Pseudanabaenaceae. The record is from RNAcentral.
GACGUUCAUCUCUUAUGGCUCAGUCAUGUAGUUGAUUUGGCAAUAAGGGACGGAAGUAAGGAAAUAUCCCGAAGGAACGCGCC